AUACGAAGGUCCCAAGCGUUAUUCGGAAUCACUGGGCGUAAAGAGUACGUAGGCGGUUUGGUAAGUCAGGUGUGAAAUCCCGGAGCUCAACUCCGGAACUGCAUCCGAUACUGCCAGACUUGAGUAAUGGAGAGGCAGGUGGAAUUCUCGGUGUAGCAGUGAAAUGCGUGGAUAUCGAGAGGAGGACCAAUGGCGAAGGCAGCCUGCUGGACAUUUACUGACGCUGAGGUACGAAGGCUAGGGGAGCGAAAGGGAUUAGAAACCCCAGUAGUCC
This 274-nucleotide ribosomal RNA is filed under the name uncultured bacterium. RNAcentral's name for it is "partial 16S ribosomal RNA". It matches the Rfam family "Bacterial small subunit ribosomal RNA", at positions 523 to 796 of the family's 1533-position model. The record is from RNAcentral.